This 253-nucleotide ribosomal RNA is filed under the name uncultured bacterium. RNAcentral describes it as "partial 16S ribosomal RNA". It matches the Rfam family "Bacterial small subunit ribosomal RNA", at positions 524 to 776 of the family's 1533-position model. The record is from RNAcentral.
GACGUAGGAGGCGAGCGUUAUCCGGAUUCACUGGGCGUAAAGCGCAUGCAGGCGGUUGGAUAAGUCCGGUGUUAAAGCCCCUGGCUCAACUCGGGGAGGUCAUUGGAGACUAUAGGACUUGAGGGCAACAGAGGCACGUGGAACUCCCGGUGUAGCGGUGGAAUGCGUAGAGAUCGGGAAGAACACCAGUGGCGAAGGCGACGUGCUGGGCUGCAACUGACGCUGAGAUGCGAAAGUGUGGGGAGCAAAAGGG